GACGAACGCUGGCGGCGUGCUUAACACAUGCAAGUCGAACGGUAAGGCUCCAGCUUGCUGGGGUACACGAGUGGCGAACGGGUGAGUAACACGUGGGUGACCUGCCCUGCACUUCGGGAUAAGCCUGGGAAACUGGGUCUAAUACCGGAUAGGACUGCACCGUGAGGGUGUGGUGGAAAGUUUUUUCGGUGUGGGAUGGGCCCGCGGCCUAUCAGCUUGUUGGUGGGGUAAUGGCCUACCAAGGCGGCGACGGGUAGCCGGCCUGAGAGGGUGGACGGCCACAUUGGGACUGAGACACGGCCCAGACUCCUACGGGAGGCAGCAGUGGGGAAUAUUGCACAAUGGGCGGAAGCCUGAUGCAGCGACGCCGCGUGGGGGAUGACGGCCUUCGGGUUGUAAACUCCUUUCGCCAUCGACGAAGGGUUUCUGACGGUAGAUGGAGAAGAAGCACCGGCUAACUACGUGCCAGCAGCCGCGGUAAUACGUAGGGUGCGAGCGUUGUCCGGAAUUACUGGGCGUAAAGAGCUCGUAGGUGGUUUGUCGCGUCGUCUGUGAAAUUCCGGGGCUUAACUCCGGGCGUGCAGGCGAUACGGGCAUAACUUGAGUACUGUAGGGGAGACUGGAAUUCCUGGUGUAGCGGUGAAAUGCGCAGAUAUCAGGAGGAACACCGGUGGCGAAGGCGGGUCUCUGGGCAGUAACUGACGCUGAGGAGCGAAAGCAUGGGGAGCGAACAGGAUUAGAUACCCUGGUAGUCCAUGCCGUAAACGGUGGGCGCUAGGUGUGGGUUUCCUUCCACGGGAUCCGUGCCGUAGCUAACGCAUUAAGCGCCCCGCCUGGGGAGUACGGCCGCAAGGCUAAAACUCAAAGGAAUUGACGGGGGCCCGCACAAGCGGCGGAGCAUGUGGAUUAAUUCGAUGCAACGCGAAGAACCUUACCUGGGCUUGACAUAUACAGGAUCGCGCCAGAGAUGGUGUUUCCCUUGUGGCUUGUAUACAGGUGGUGCAUGGUUGUCGUCAGCUCGUGUCGUGAGAUGUUGGGUUAAGUCCCGCAACGAGCGCAACCCUUGUCUUAUGUUGCCAGCACGUUGUGGUGGGGACUCGUAAGAAACUGCCGGGGUUAACUCGGAGGAAGGUGGGGAUGACGUCAAAUCAUCAUGCCCCUUAUGUCCAGGGCUUCACACAUGCUACAAUGGUCGGUACAGUGGGUUGCCAGUCCGUGAGGGCGAGCUAAUCCCGCAAAGCCGGUCUCAGUUCGGAUCGGGGUCUGCAACUCGACCCCGUGAAGUCGGAGUCGCUAGUAAUCGCAGAUCAGCAACGCUGCGGUGAAUACGUUCCCGGGCCU
Molecule: ribosomal RNA, 1341 nt
Filed under: uncultured bacterium
Lineage: Bacteria
Description: partial 16S ribosomal RNA
Rfam family: Bacterial small subunit ribosomal RNA
Source: RNAcentral